This is a non-coding RNA of Solanum lycopersicum (tomato), 118 nucleotides long. The record is from RefSeq and is a predicted model, not a curated record. NCBI's taxonomy places the organism in Eukaryota, Viridiplantae, Streptophyta, Magnoliopsida, Solanales, Solanaceae.
CCUGCAUCGAGUGGCGGCUGGCGGGGAGACUACCCACUUCACGAUCAGAUUAUUUUGAGUUGGAAGUUCAACAAAAAGGGAAGACUCAAGUUCCGAAGUGAUUGUUCUACUAUUUGAG